AUUAGUAUUAGUUAUUUUCUUGAAAAUUAAAGAUUUUGGCGGUAUUUUAGUCUAUUCAGAGGAACCUGUUCUAUAAUUGAUAAUCCACGAUUUACUUUACUUGAAUAGUUUGUAUAUCGUCGUUAUUUUGAAUAUUUUAUAAGAAUUAUAAUUUUCAGUAUUUUUAAUUAGAAUAUAGUUCAGAUCAAGGUGCAGCUUAUAUUUAAGAAGAAAUGGGUUACAAUAAAUUUAUUUGAAUGGUUUAAUAAUUGAAAUUUUAUUAUUAAAUUGGGAAAGUAAUAUUUUUAAUUAAACAAUAUGAUUUUAGCUCUAAAAUAUG
Molecule: ribosomal RNA, 319 nt
Filed under: Stenelmis consobrina
Lineage: Eukaryota; Metazoa; Arthropoda; Insecta; Coleoptera; Elmidae
Description: partial small subunit ribosomal RNA
Source: RNAcentral